This is a long non-coding RNA of Trichosurus vulpecula (common brushtail), 238 nucleotides long. RefSeq lists it as uncharacterized. Lineage: Eukaryota; Metazoa; Chordata; Mammalia; Diprotodontia; Phalangeridae. The transcript has 3 exons. The record is from RefSeq and is a predicted model, not a curated record.
GCAGUAACUAAAAGGGCAACCAGCUCCAUUUGCAUACCUCAAAUGCCCUUCAAUCACCCACAAAUAUGUGACUUAUUCUUUAAAAUCUGAUAUCCAAAAGAAAAUCAUGUUAAGAAUAGGACAGUUUUCUUUACAUCAAGAAAAUGACCAAUAAUUGAAAAUAUGCCUUUUAUGACAGAAGACAGAAGAAUUUUUUAAUCCCAAUUUUGAAUCCCAGAUCUGCUACUGCUACCUGUGU